CCGGCGACCGGCGCACGGGUGAGUAACACGUAUGCAACCUGCCCUCCGCAGGGGGAUAACCCGGAGAAAUCCGGACUAAUACCGCGUGGUACACCAGUGGGGCAUCCCACGGGUGUUAAAAGGAAAGCGAUUCCGGCGGAGGAUGGGCAUGCGGCGCAUUAGCUUGUUGGCGGGUAACGCCCACCAAGGCGACGAUGCGUAGGGGCUCUGAGAGGAAGGUCCCCCACACUGGUACUGAGACACGGACCAGACUCCUACGGGAGGCAGCAG
This 270-nucleotide ribosomal RNA is filed under the name uncultured bacterium. RNAcentral describes it as "partial 16S ribosomal RNA". It matches the Rfam family "Bacterial small subunit ribosomal RNA", at positions 88 to 354 of the family's 1533-position model. The record is from RNAcentral.